Molecule: ribosomal RNA, 460 nt
Filed under: uncultured bacterium
Lineage: Bacteria
Description: partial 16S ribosomal RNA
Rfam family: Bacterial small subunit ribosomal RNA
Source: RNAcentral
CCUACGGGAUGCAGCAGUGAGGAAUAUUGGUCAAUGGGCGGAAGCCUGAACCAGCCAAGUCGCGUGAGGGAAUAAGGCCCUACGGGUCGUAAACCUCUUUUGCCGGGGAGCAAGGCCCGGGACGCGUCCCGGCCCGGAGAGUACCCGGAGCAAAAGCAUCGUCUAACUCCUUGCCAGCAGCCGCGGGAAUACGGAGGAUGCGAGCGUGCUCCGGAUUUAUUGGGUUUAAAGGGUGCGUAGGCGGGCUUUAAAGUCAGCGGUAAAAAUUCGGGGCUCAACCCCGUCCGGCCGUUGAAACUGGGGGCCUUGAGUGGGCGAGAAGAAGGCGGAAUGCGUGGUGUAGCGGUGAAAUGCAUAGAUAGCACGCAGAACCCCGAUUGCGAAGGCAGCCUUCCGGCGCCCGACUGACGCUGAGGCACGAAAGUGCGGGGAUCGAACAGGAUUAGAUACCCGUGUAGUC